GACGAACGCUGGCGGCGUGCUUAACACAUGCAAGUCGAACGGAAAGGCCCUGCUUUUGUGGGGUGCUCGAGUGGCGAACGGGUGAGUAACACGUGAGUAACCUGCCCUUGACUUUGGGAUAACUUCAGGAAACUGGGGCUAAUACCGGAUAGGAGCUCCUGCUGCAUGGUGGGGGUUGGAAAGUUUCGGCGGUUGGGGAUGGACUCGCGGCUUAUCAGCUUGUUGGUGGGGUAGUGGCUUACCAAGGCUUUGACGGGUAGCCGGCCUGGGAGGGUGACCGGCCACAUUGGGACUGAGAUACGGCCCAGACUCGUACGGGAGGCAGCAGUGGGGAAUAUUGCACAAUGGGCGGAAGCCUGAUGCAGCAACGCCGCGUGCGGGAUGACGGCCUUCGGGUUGUGAACCGCUUUCGCCUGUGACGAAGCGUGAGUGACGGUAAUGGGUAAAGAAGCACCGGCUAACUACGUG
RNAcentral lists this ribosomal RNA (468 nucleotides) under uncultured bacterium. RNAcentral describes it as "partial 16S ribosomal RNA". It matches the Rfam family "Bacterial small subunit ribosomal RNA", at positions 28 to 507 of the family's 1533-position model. The record is from RNAcentral.